CCGGAGUACUAUGAAUACUUAAACAUUUAAAACUUAAAGAACUUGGCGGUGUUUUAGACCACUUAGGGGAACCUGUCUCGUAAUCGACAAUCCGCGUUAAACCUGACCUUUUCUUGUUAUCAGUUUGUAUACCGUUGUCGUCAGGUAACUUUUUAGAAAUUAGAAGUUAGCGAUAAAAGCAAUUUAAUGACUUAGGACGUCAAAUCAAGGUGCAGCUAACGAAAAGGGGAGGAUGGGUUACAAUUAUUUGAUUUAUAAUAACGGACGAACAACAUGAAUAUGUUUCAAAUUAUAAGGUGGACUUGAAAGUAAAUUAGAUUAUAUAGAUAGUUUGAAUAAGGCUCUGAAACGUGU
This 354-nucleotide ribosomal RNA is filed under the name Myurella affinis. RNAcentral describes it as "partial 12S ribosomal RNA". It matches the Rfam family "Bacterial small subunit ribosomal RNA", at positions 872 to 1384 of the family's 1533-position model. Lineage: Eukaryota; Metazoa; Mollusca; Gastropoda; Neogastropoda; Terebridae. The record is from RNAcentral.